ACGAUGAUUUCAAAAAAGAAUCUUACCCAAUGAACGGAAUAAUAUGAAUAAUCACGUUCCCAAUGUUUUGGUUUUCAAUCGUUAUUUUAUUUUUUGUUUUUUUACUUGUCCACCUGUGCACACUUUUUCUGCUUCACUGCAGACAUUUUGCCAAACCGCAACAUGGCGGCCUCGGGGACGUUUCUCCUGUCAUUUCAGUUGUUUUGUUUCCUCUGUACAGCAGGAGGUACAGUACUUGUGCAGUGGUUUUUUGUUUAUAAUAUAUAGUGCUAAGCUCGAAUCACAUCGAAGCAUAACAGAAUGCAGCAGUGUGUGUUUUCACGUCGUCAAUCAAUUGAGCUCAUAUGUCAGUUGCACAAUUUUGAAUUGCAGUCAAGUCAUAAAGUGUGAGAAAUUUUCUGAUUUUUUACCCUUCAAUAACAAAGGAGCUACUACACCCAGCUCGUAUUCACAAUCAUUAGAUGACCGAAAGUUCCAAACACACACCGACAAUGGACGUUGGUUUGACAUCUUUACUUCUUCGAAAGAAAAAUGACCACACACAAAAGAAAAACAAAACACACACGUCAUUUGCAUUUUUUUCUUCAGGGGUUGAUCUUUUUUUUUGGUUUUAAGUCUGGUCCGUUUUCCAUCUGCUGCUGUCUUCAGGGGAAGGGAUAGGUACAAAAAGGUGAGAGAGGGACAACUCUCUAUAUUUCUCCAGUUGUUUCGACAUGGAAAACUUUGGAAACAAUCUCAACAAGAAAAUGAGAAGAUAUUCUGUUAACACAAACGCUGUUGGCUGUCCACGAAAACGCGUUGAAGAGGAAAAGAAGAUUUUUAGGAUUUCCCAGGACAACCUGCUGUGAACCCAUCAGCGCCAAAAUCUUUUGUUUCUUUUCUACAACAGCUUUUGUAUGAAUUGCUGGACACUGUGUGGACUGCACAUUGGCCUCAACAGGAACGAAUCAGAGCUGCCGUAGAAAGCCAACAUUGUCAUGGGAAGGACGCCCUUUUCUCUCCAGUUCUACAGUUGGGCUCUCUUCAUUACUAAAGCGGCUUAAUGAGAAGAUUCUACGACUCUUUGGUGGUUAAGGAAAAAAAAAAAAUAAAAGAAUUCUCGUGUCCGUCUAUGAUGAAGCCGUGAAGAUGAGCAACUGGCAGAGAAAGAACAAUGUGGCGCAUUAGCUCUAAUUGGACUGGACAUGGCAGCUUGUCUGUCGACUUACAAGAAUCGGGUCAAUGCUUUCACACCAGAUAUUCGUGUACACGAGAAAGAGUAGAAAACGCGAUAAAAAGUGUGAAAAUCUCUAGGUUUGUAUCGAAAUUAUAAUUGACCCUGCUCGAGGCGCUCUUUGUUCUGUUCUUUUUUUUUUUUUUUCACAAUCAUCUUUUCGUUGUUUCGUAGCGUCUCUACACGGAUUCCCUGUUUGAUGGAUGCCGUGCGAGAUAUGAUGAAGCGAUCAAAUCCUUUGUUGGUCAUCCGUGUUUGCGGCUUUGUAUUCUAUAUCGAAAUAGAGUUAUGGAGGCGCGGUUUGGGUAUGAAGAGAUUCGUGCGUCUACAUGCGAGCAGCUUCGUCACACAGUCACGUACUAUCAAAGCCCGGAACAAGGAGAUGAAAAGAUAAGAGAAACGAGUCAUCCAGGAAUCUGUUCACGCUCCCAGCAGGGAAGCAAGACAUGAUGUAUACAGCAGAUAAAGAUAAGAAAAAAAAAAAAAAAUAAAUAGGAAAAAGGGGGUCAAAAACGUUUGAAUAUUUGCUGUUUUGAAUAGUUCAUUACACAUAACGCGACAGCCAAUUUACACACAGGUGGAACACGUUCAAAAGAAACGCACACACGAAUAUGAUACACAGAACAAAUCACGACGGAUGAAAAGAAACUUGCGUAUGCACGCAAUGACUAAACGCCGAUACACUUACAUAUAUAUCAAAUAUCGUGCGACAUGUACGUCCUCCCCUUUCACGAAAAGGAAAAGAAAAAAAUAAACGCACAAUUUACACACUUGGCAUAAAUUUCGAAGAAGAUGCCGUACAGAGAGAAAUCCUAUCUGACAGAGGGAAAGUGGGGAGAUAUACAUAUGUAUACUAUGCAGAAAUCGAUAAGAUGUACUUUGUAGAUUAAAGUUGUUUUUUUUUGUUGUUGUUGUUGUUGUGUCGGGUAGAUAUUAAAUAGAAUAUCCCCCGCGUCGUCAAAUGACAGUGAGAGCAUACGAAGGAGAUGAUGGACGUUGCCUGUAACAUAUCGGCUUGUAAAAUACGAGAAGAGAGUGGGG
This is a long non-coding RNA of Daphnia magna, 2254 nucleotides long. RefSeq lists it as uncharacterized. The transcript is spliced from 5 exons. NCBI's taxonomy places the organism in Eukaryota, Metazoa, Arthropoda, Branchiopoda, Diplostraca, Daphniidae. The record is from RefSeq and is a predicted model, not a curated record.